CUUUACUAUAGCUUUGCAGUGGCAUUAGAGGUGACAUGUGUAGCAUAGGUGGGAGACUUUGAAGCCGGGGCGCUAGCCUUGGUGGAGUCACAAUGUGAAAUACCACCCUUGUUAUCUCUGAUGUCUAACCUCAUCUGUUAUCCAGAUGAGGGACCCUGCAUGGUGGGUAGUUUGACUGGGGCGGUCGCCUCCCAAAUUGUAACGGAGGCGCACAAUGGCUAGCUCAACCUGGUCGGAAAUCAGGUUUAGAGUGUAUUGGCAUAAGCUAGCUUAACUGCAAGACUGACAAGUCGAGCAGAUACGAAAGUAGGUCAAAGUGAUCCGGUGAUUCCGUAUGGAAGGGUCAUCGCUCAACGAAUAAAAGGUA
RNAcentral lists this ribosomal RNA (367 nucleotides) under uncultured organism. RNAcentral's name for it is "bacterial LSU rRNA". It matches the Rfam family "Bacterial large subunit ribosomal RNA", at positions 2099 to 2465 of the family's 2925-position model. The record is from RNAcentral.